This 228-nucleotide long non-coding RNA is filed under the name Cavia porcellus (domestic guinea pig). Its description in RNAcentral is "lncRNA (ENSCPOG00000038593.1)". The record is from RNAcentral. Lineage: Eukaryota; Metazoa; Chordata; Mammalia; Rodentia; Caviidae.
GAGGAGUCAGCAUCGAUCUGAAAGUCGCUGGAGGCCACACUGCAUGCGACUUUCUCCGGGGCGUGACUUCUUCUUGAGGUCAGGAGGACCUCCUGGACCCAGGCUGGACAUAGACCAAGGAGGGUGCUGCUUGUGCAGACAGCUAACACAGCAGGUCAUGAUGAGCAGCAAAGACCAGACCAAGGGCAGGAUCUGGGGCCCCAGGAGCUGAGCAAGGGCACCACAGUG